GAUGAACGCUGGCGGCGUGCCUAAUACAUGCAAGUCGAGCGAACGGACGAGAAGCUUGCUUCUCUGAUGUUAGCGGCGGACGGGUGAGUAACACGUGGAUAACCUACCUAUAAGACUGGGAUAACUUCGGGAAACCGGAGCUAAUACCGGAUAAUAUUUUGAACCGCAUGGUUCAAAAGUGAAAGACGGUCUUGCUGUCACUUAUAGAUGGAUCCGCGCUGCAUUAGCUAGUUGGUAAGGUAACGGCUUACCAAGGCAACGAUGCAUAGCCGACCUGAGAGGGUGGUCGGCCACGCUGGAACUGAGCCCCGGUCCAUACUCCUACGGGAGUCAGCAGUAGGGAAUCUUCCGCAAUGGGCGAAAGCCUGACGGAGCAACGCCGCGUGAGUGAUGAAGGUCUUCGGAUCGUAAAACUCUGUUAUUAGGGAAGAACAUAUGUGUAAGUAACUGUGCACAUCUUGACGGUACCUAAUCAGAAAGCCACGGCUAACUACGUG
Molecule: ribosomal RNA, 497 nt
Filed under: uncultured bacterium
Lineage: Bacteria
Description: partial 16S ribosomal RNA
Rfam family: Bacterial small subunit ribosomal RNA
Source: RNAcentral